UAGUCCGUACGGGAUUCGAACCCGUGUUACCGCCGUGAAAAGGCGGUGUCUUAACCCCUUGACCAACGGACC
RNAcentral lists this transfer RNA (72 nucleotides) under Streptococcus agalactiae. RNAcentral's name for it is "tRNA-Glu". RNAcentral also lists the same sequence under 3 other names. Lineage: Bacteria; Bacillati; Bacillota; Bacilli; Lactobacillales; Streptococcaceae. The record is from RNAcentral.